Molecule: signal recognition particle RNA, 295 nt
Filed under: Cebus imitator (Panamanian white-faced capuchin)
Lineage: Eukaryota; Metazoa; Chordata; Mammalia; Primates; Cebidae
Description: Metazoan signal recognition particle RNA (ENSCCAG00000006391.1)
Rfam family: Metazoan signal recognition particle RNA
About the family: The signal recognition particle (SRP) is a universally conserved ribonucleoprotein. It is involved in the co-translational targeting of proteins to membranes. The eukaryotic SRP consists of a 300-nucleotide 7S RNA and six proteins: SRPs 72, 68, 54, 19, 14, and 9.
Source: RNAcentral
ACCAGGUGCAGUGGCACGUGCUUAUAGUCCCAGCUACUUGGGAGGCCGAGGUGGGAGGAUCACUUGAGGCCAGGAGUUCUGGGCUGUAGCGCGCUAUGCUGAUCAGGUGUCCGCACUAAGUUCAGCAUCAAUAUGGUGGCCUCCCAUGAGCGGAGGACCACCAAGUUGCCUAAGGAGGGGUGAACUGGCCCAGGUUGGAAACAGAGCAGAUCAAAACUCCUGUGCUGAUCAGUGGUGGGAUCAUGCCUGUGAACAGCCACUGCUCCAGCCUGGACAACAUAGCGAGACUGUCUCU